Molecule: ribosomal RNA, 465 nt
Filed under: Vreelandella stevensii
Lineage: Bacteria; Pseudomonadati; Pseudomonadota; Gammaproteobacteria; Oceanospirillales; Halomonadaceae
Description: partial 16S ribosomal RNA
Rfam family: Bacterial small subunit ribosomal RNA
Source: RNAcentral
CCUACGGGAGGCAGCAGUGGGGAAUAUUGGACAAUGGGGGCAACCCUGAUCCAGCCAUGCCGCGGGUGUGAAGAAGGCCCUCGGGUUGUAAAGCACUUUCAGUGAGGAAGAACGCCUGGUGGUUAAUACCCAUCAGGAAAGACAUCACUCACAGAAGAAGCACCGGCUAACUCCGUGCCAGCAGCCGCGGUAAUACGGAGGGUGCGAGCGUUAAUCGGAAUUACUGGGCGUAAAGCGCGCGUAGGUGGCUUGAUAAGCCGGUUGUGAAAGCCCCGGGCUCAACCUGGGAACGGCAUCCGGAACUGUCAAGCUAGAGUGCAGGAGAGGAAGGUAGAAUUCCCGGUGUAGCGGUGAAAUGCGUAGAGAUCGGGAGGAAUACCAGUGGCGAAGGCGGCCUUCUGGACUGACACUGACACUGAGGUGCGAAAGCGUGGGUAGCAAACAGGAUUAGAUACCCUGGUAGUC